RNAcentral lists this ribosomal RNA (474 nucleotides) under uncultured bacterium. RNAcentral describes it as "bacterial SSU rRNA". It matches the Rfam family "Bacterial small subunit ribosomal RNA", at positions 335 to 800 of the family's 1533-position model. The record is from RNAcentral.
ACUCCUACGGGAGGCAGCAGUGGGGAAUAUUGGACAAUGGGGGGAACCCUGAUCCAGCCAUGCCGCGUGUGUGAAGAAGGCCUUUUGGUUGUAAAGCACUUUAAGCGAGGAGGAGGCUACUCUAGUUAAUACCUAGGGAUAGUGGACGUUACUCGCAGAAUAAGCACCGGCUAACUCUGUGCCAGCAGCCGCGGUAAUACAGAGGGUGCGAGCGUUAAUCGGAUUUACUGGGCGUAAAGCGUGCGUAGGUGGCCAAUUAAGUCAAAUGUGAAAUCCCCGAGCUUAACUUGGGAAUUGCAUUCGAUACUGGUUGGCUAGAGUAUGGGAGAGGAUGGUAGAAUUCCAGGUGUAGCGGUGAAAUGCGUAGAGAUCUGGAGGAAUACCGAUGGCGAAGGCAGCCAUCUGGCCUAAUACUGACACUGAGGUACGAAAGCAUGGGGAGCAAACAGGAUUAGAUACCCUGGUAGGCUCUGC